AACAUAUACAUUUGCUUCCGAAGAAUCUCGAUCUGGUAGUUCUUUUCUUCUCUCUUCUUCAUUAUGUCGUACUUGGAUUUAUGCUGAUACCGCUGAAUGUAUGCGUAGCUCACUUUUUUUUUCUUUUUUUUUUCAUGCGUGAUUUACGUCUCUGCAAAUGAUUUGUUAUGCUUGGUGUUUAGGUUCGGUUUGUGAUUAG
This 199-nucleotide long non-coding RNA is filed under the name Lathyrus oleraceus (garden pea). Its description in RNAcentral is "Pisum sativum (pea) long non-coding RNA (PSAT_LNC042347)". Lineage: Eukaryota; Viridiplantae; Streptophyta; Magnoliopsida; Fabales; Fabaceae. The record is from RNAcentral.